This 444-nucleotide ribosomal RNA is filed under the name uncultured bacterium. RNAcentral's name for it is "SSU rRNA". It matches the Rfam family "Bacterial small subunit ribosomal RNA", at positions 26 to 518 of the family's 1533-position model. The record is from RNAcentral.
AGAAUGAACGCUGGCGGCAGGCCUAACACAUGCAAGUCGAACGGGCACUUCGGUGCUAGUGGCGGACGGGUGAGUAACGCGUGGGAACAUACCCUUUGGUACGGAAUAGCCUCGGGAAACUGGGAGUAAUACCGUAUGUGCCCUUCGGGGGAAAGAUUUAUCGCCAAAGGAUUGGCCCGCGUUGGAUUAGGUAGUUGGUGGGGUAAUGGCCUACCAAGCCGACGAUCCAUAGCUGGUUUGAGAGGAUGAUCAGCCACACUGGGACUGAGACACGGCCCAGACUCCUACGGGAGGCAGCAGUGGGGAAUCUUAGACAAUGGGGGAAACCCUGAUCUAGCCAUGCCGCGUGAUCGAUGAAGGCCUUAGGGUUGUAAAGAUCUUUCAGUGGGGAAGAUAAUGACGGUACCACAGAAGACGCCCGGCUAACUCCGUGCCAGCAGCCGC